This 253-nucleotide ribosomal RNA is filed under the name uncultured bacterium. RNAcentral's name for it is "partial 16S ribosomal RNA". It matches the Rfam family "Bacterial small subunit ribosomal RNA", at positions 524 to 776 of the family's 1533-position model. The record is from RNAcentral.
UACGAAGGGAGCUAGCGUUGUUCGGAAUUACUGGGCGUAAAGGGCGCGUAGGCGGGUUUCCAAGUCGGGGGUGAAAUUCCAGGGCUCAACCCUGGGGCGGCCUUCGAUACUGGGAGCCUGGAGAUCGGGAGAGGUGAGUGGAAUUCCGAGUGUAGAGGUGAAAUUCGUAGAUAUUCGGAGGAACACCAGAAGCGAAGGCGGCUCACUGGCCCGAGACUGACGCUGAGGCGCGAAAGCGUGGGGAGCAAACGGG